ACCUCUGGCGCGCACGCUGGGACCCGAAAGAUGGUGAACUAUCCUGGUCAGGGCGAAGUCAGGGGAAGCCCUGAUGGAGGUCCGCAGCGAUUCUGACGUGCAAAUCGAUCGUCAGAACUGGGUAUAGGGGCGAAAGACCAAUCGAACCGUCUAGUAGACUGGUUCCCUCCGAAGUUUCCCUUAGGAUAGCUGGCGGGGGGAAUGCGAGAUUCUCUGCGGUAAAGCGAAUGAUUAGAGCGAAUCGGGGUCG
RNAcentral lists this ribosomal RNA (250 nucleotides) under Amydetes fucata. RNAcentral's name for it is "partial 28S ribosomal RNA". It matches the Rfam family "Eukaryotic large subunit ribosomal RNA", at positions 793 to 1038 of the family's 3401-position model. The record is from RNAcentral. Lineage: Eukaryota; Metazoa; Arthropoda; Insecta; Coleoptera; Lampyridae.